UACAGAGGGUGCGAGCGUUAAUCGGAAUUACUGGGCGUAAAGCGCGCGUAGGCGGCUUUGCAAGUCGGGUGUGAAAUCCCCAGGCUUAACCUGGGAACUGCAUUCGAGACUGCAUUGCUAGAGUAUGGGAGAGGGAAGUGGAAUUCCGGUGUAGCGGUGAAAUGCGUAGAUAUCGGAAGGAACAUCAGUGGCGAAGGCGGCUCACUGGCCCGGUACUGACGCUGAGGUGCGAAAGCGUGGGGAGCAAACA
Molecule: ribosomal RNA, 250 nt
Filed under: uncultured bacterium
Lineage: Bacteria
Description: partial 16S ribosomal RNA
Rfam family: Bacterial small subunit ribosomal RNA
Source: RNAcentral